UUUCCUACUAAAUGCGUCAGUUUCAUGGUCCAUGUAGGACAAGAGAAGGAGAAAAAGCAAAUAAGAUUUUCAAGAGUUCUUUAUCCGCUACA
This is a non-coding RNA of Caenorhabditis elegans, 92 nucleotides long. Lineage: Eukaryota; Metazoa; Nematoda; Chromadorea; Rhabditida; Rhabditidae. The record is from Ensembl.